RNAcentral lists this transfer RNA (68 nucleotides) under Yunnanacris yunnaneus. RNAcentral's name for it is "tRNA-His". It matches the Rfam family "tRNA". From Rfam's summary of the family: Transfer RNA (tRNA) molecules are approximately 80 nucleotides in length. Lineage: Eukaryota; Metazoa; Arthropoda; Insecta; Orthoptera; Acrididae. The record is from RNAcentral.
GCUUAAGUAUUUUAAUUUAAAAUAUUGGUUUGUGGAACCAAUGAUAUGAAUUAUUUUCAUCUUAGGCC